UUUUGUGGAAUUAGGUUAUACCACCGGGCAUGGAGUUCAGCAGUGUUGCAACACAAGAUUCAUUUGAUGGCGAUGGAGAUCUGAGAUCAUUGAUUGGCACUGACAGAACCCAGAAAAGACCUAUACCGCCAAUUUGGUCUGAGGUUAAAAUCUUUAUCAUUCACAUGAAAGUGCAAAAAUUAAUAUGUUUCUCUAACAUGCCAAUCAAAUAAAGCUGAUUACUCUGUCUCUAAGCUAAAGGGUUACCAUUUUUAUUGCAAAUUGUGUAAACACGAGAACAAAAUAGGAAUAUCAUACUGUACCACUAAUCAAAAGGAAGACGACAUGUCUUAUGUAUGCUUUUGACAAAAUUUUGUCAAAUUUUGUUCAAUGCAGAUCAUGCGAUUUUUUACGAACCCUCACAAGCCCAUGAUACUAGCAUUGUCCC
Molecule: long non-coding RNA, 427 nt
Filed under: Olea europaea (common olive)
Lineage: Eukaryota; Viridiplantae; Streptophyta; Magnoliopsida; Lamiales; Oleaceae
Description: long non-coding RNA (OEUR_LNC008699)
Source: RNAcentral